This 186-nucleotide ribosomal RNA is filed under the name uncultured bacterium. RNAcentral's name for it is "partial 16S ribosomal RNA". It matches the Rfam family "Bacterial small subunit ribosomal RNA", at positions 1314 to 1500 of the family's 1533-position model. The record is from RNAcentral.
GCCUUCAUGAAGCUGGAAUUGCUAGUAAUGGCAGGUCAGCAUACUGCCGUGAAUACGUUCCCGGGCCUUGUACACACCGCCCGUCACACCAUGAGAGUUGGAAAUACCCGAAGCCCGUGAGCUAACUUUUAGAGGCAGCAGUCGAAGGUAGAGCCAAUGAUUGGGGUGAAGUCGUAACAAGGUAGC